UUUUUUAGUUUUCUUUAGUUUUAUUCUGCCUGUUUUUAAGGUUUUUUUUAGUUUUUUUUUCUUUUUUUAUUAUUUAUAUAUAUAUAGGUUGUUCUUUUCUGAAAUACUUUUCCUUCUGUUUUUUUAUUUUGUUUAUACUAUCCUUUCUCUUUUUUUAGUUUUCUUUAGUUUUUUUCUCCCUGUUUUAAUUUUUUAUUAGAAAAACUAUUCUUUUUCUUAUCUUGAAGACUUAAAAACAGGCAACUGGACUGUGUAGAGUUGAGAGUUGUUAUUUAUAAAUAUUAAGGGUUUUCCUUUCUGAAAUACUUUUCCUUCUGUUUUUUUAUUUUGUUUACACUAUCCUUUCUCUUUUUUAGUUUUCUUCAGUUUUUUCUGCCUGUUUUAAUUUUUUUUGUUUUUUCUAUAUAUUUAGGGUGUUUUUUCUGAUAUACUUUUCUUUCUGUUUUUUUAAUUUUGUUUAUACUAUCCUUUCUCUUUUUUUAGUUUUCUUUAGUUUUUUGUCUGCCUGUUUUAAGUUUUUUUUAUUAGUUUUUUUAGUUCUUUUUGUUAUAUAUAUUUAGGGUGUUUUUUUUCAGAAAUACUUUUCCUUCUGUUUUUUUAUUUUGUUUACACUAUCCUUUCUCCUUUUUUAGUUUUCUUUAGUUUUUUUCUGCCUGUUUUAAGUUUUUUUUUUAGUUUUUUAAAGUUUUUUUUAGAAAUACUAUUCUUUUUUUCUUUUUUUAGUUUUCUUUAGUUUUAUUCUGCCUGUUUUUAAGGGUUUUUUUCAGGUUUUUUUCAGUUUUUUUGUUAUUUAUAUAUAUAUAUAGGUUGUUCUUUUCUGAAAUACUUUUCCUUCUGUUUUUUUUAUUUUGUUUAUACUAUCCUUUCUAUCCUUCUAUCCUUUUUCCUAUCCUUUCUUUUGUUUUUUUUAGUUCUUUUUGUUAUAUAUAUUUAGGGUGUUUUUUUUCAGAAAUACUUUUCCUUCUGUUUUUUAAAUUUUGUAUACACUAUCCUUUCUCCUUUUUUUAGUUUACUUUAGUUUUUUUCUGCCUGUUUAAAUUUUUUUUUUUAGUUUUUUUAGUUUUUUAAAGUUUUUUUUAGAAAAUACUAUUCUUUUUCUUCUUUUUUAGUUUUCUUUAGUUUUAUUCUGCCUGUUUUUAAGGUUUUUUUUAGUUUUUUUUUCUUUUUUUAUUAUUUAUAUAUAUAUAGGUUGUUCUUUUCUGAAAUACUUUUCCUUCUUUUUUUUUAUUUUGUUUAUAAUAUCCUUUCUCUUUUUUUAGUUUUCUUUAGUUUUUUUCUCCCUGUUUUAAUUUUUUAUUAGAAAAACUAUUCUUUUUCUUAUCUUGAAGACUUAAAAACAGGCAACUGGACUGUGUAGAGUUGAGAGUUGUUAUUUAUAAAUAUUAAGGGUUUUCCUUUCUGAAAUACUUUUCCUUCUGUUUUUUUAUUUUGUUUAUACUAUCCUUUCUCUUUUUUAGUUUUCUUCAGUUUUUUUCUGCCUGUUUUAAUUUUUUUUGUUUUUUCUAUAUAUUUAGGGUGUUUUUUCUGAUAUACUUUUCUUUCUGUUUUUUUAAUUUUGUUUAUACUAUCCUUUCUCUUUUUUUAGUUUUCUUUAGUUUUUUGUCUGCCUGUUUUAAGUUUUUUUUAUUAGUUUUUUUAGUUCUUUUUGUUAUAUAUAUUUAGGGUGUUUUUUUUCAGAAAUAGUUUUCCUUCUGUUUUUUUAUUUUGUUUACACUAUCCUUUCUCCUCUUUUUAGUUCACUUUAGUUUUUUUCUGCCUGUUUUAAGUUUUUUUUUUAGUUUUUUAAAGUUUUUUUUAGAAAUACUAUUCUUUUUCUUUUUUUUUUAGUUUUCUUUAGUUUUAUUCUGCCUGUUUUUAAGGGGUUUUUUCAGGUUUUUUUCAGUUUUUUUGAAGUUUUUUUGAAGUUUUUUUAGAAAUACUAAUCUUCUUCUUGUUUUUAUUAGUUUUCUUUAGUUUUAUUCUGCCUGUUUUAAGUUUUUUUUUUUUCUAUAUAUUUGGGGUGUUUUUUCUGAUAUACUUUUCUUUCUGUUUUUUUAAUUUUGUUUAUACUAUCCUUUCUCUUUUUUUAGUUUUCUUUAGUUUUUUGUCUGCCUGUUUUAAGUUUUUUGUAUUAGUUUUUUGAGUUCUUUUUGUUUUUUAUAAUUAGGGUGUUUUUUUCAGAAAUACUUUUCCUUCUGUUUUUUUUAUUUUGUUUACACUAUCCUUUCUCCUCUUUUUAGUUUACUUUAGUUUUUUUCUGCCUGUUUUAAGUUUUUUUUUUAGUUUUUUAAAGUUUUUUAGAAAUACUAUUCUUUUUCUUCUUUUUUUAGUUUUCUUUAGUUUUAUUCUGCCUGUUUUUAAGGGGUUUUUUCAGGUUUUUUUCAGUUUUUUUGUUAUUUAUAUAUAUAUAGGUUGUUCUUUUCUGAAAUACUUUUCCUUCUGUUUUUUUAUUUUGUUUAUACUAUCCUUUCUAUCCUUCUAUCCUUUAUCCUAUCCUUUCUUUUGUUUUUUUUAAUUCUAUUUGUUAUAUAUAUUUAGGGUGUUUUUUUUCAGAAAUACUUUUCCUUCUGUUUUUUAAAUUUUGUAUACACUAUCCUUUCUCCUUUUUUUAGUUUACUUUAGUUUUUUUCUGCCUGUUUUAAGUCUUUUUUUAGUUUUUUUAGUUUUUUAAAGUUUUUUUAGAAAAUACUAUUCUUUUCUUCUUUUUUAGUUUUCUUUAGUUUUAUCCUGCCUGUUUUUAAGUUUUUUUUUAGUUUUUUUUUUCUUUUUUUAUUAUUUAUAUAUAUAUAGGUUGUUCUUUUCUGAAAUACUUUUCCUUCUGUUUUUUUAUUUUGUUUAUACUAUCCUUUCUCUUUUUUAGUUUUCUUCAGUUUUUUUCUGCCUGUUUUAAUUUUUUUUGUUUUUUCUAUAUAUUUAGGGUGUUUUUUCUGAUAUACUUUUCUUUCUGUUUUUUUAAUUUUGUUUAUACUAUCCUUUCUCUUUUUUUAGUUUUCUUUAGUUUUUUGUCUGCCUGUUUUAAGUUUUUUUUAAGGUUUUUUUCAGUUUUUUGUUAUUUAUAUAUAUAUAUAGGUUGUUCUUUUCUGAAAUACUUUUCCUUCUUUUUUUUAUUUUGUUUAUACUAUCCUUUCUCCUUUUUAGUUUUCUUUAGUUUUUGUCUGCCUGUUUUAAGUUUUUUUUUUAGUUUUUUGAAGUUUUUUUUAGAAAUACUAAUCUUUUUAUUAGUUUUCUUUAGUUUUUUUCUGCCUGUUUUAAUUGUUUUGUUUUUUGUUUCCUUUAGUUUUUUUUUCUUCAGUUUUUUUUACCUAUUUUUUUGCCUGGCACCUCUUUCUUGAUGAGCUACUCUUAGUCUGGUCCCUCCCCCAGGACCUGCUGCCUUGGGUAACCUUUCAGAGGCAUAAAGCCCUGACAACAUAGCUCCUGGGAUCAUUGGGACACACAAACCCCUCCACCACGGUAAGGUGGUAGCUCAAGGAGGGGAAAAAACCCUCACAUGGGAGGGAAAAACCGCAAGGGUUUUUUUUUCUGUGCAAAACACCCGGUUUAGGGUGGGUUUUUGUUCUUUUUUUUCAGAAAUACUUUUCAUUUCUUUAGUUUCCUAUAGUUCUUUUUUAUUUUUCUGCCUGUUUUAAGUUUUUUUUUCAGAAAUACUGUGAUGUUUCUUUUUUUUUUAGUUUUUUUUUAUGAAUACUAUUCUUUUUCUCAGUUUUCUUUAGUUUUUUUUGUCAUUUAUAAAUAUUAAGGGUUUUCCUUUCUGAAAUACUUUUCCUUCUGUUUUUUUAUUUUGUUUAUACUAUCCUUUCUCUUUUUUAGUUUUCUUUAGUAUUUUCUACCUGUUUUAAGUUUUUUUUUUGUUUUUUUUGUUUUUUCUAUAUAUUUAGGGUGUUUUUUUCUGAAAUACUUUUCCUUCUGUUUUUUUUAUUUUGUUUAUACUAUCCUUUCUCUUUUUUAGUUUUCUUUAGUUUUUUUCUGCCUGUUUUAAGUUUUUUUUGUUUUUUCUAUAUAUUUAGGGUGUUUUAUCAGAAAUACUUUUCCUUCUGUUUUUUUUAUUUUGUUUAUACUAUCCUUUCUCUUUUUUAGUUUUCUUUAGUUUUUUUCUGCCUGUUUUAAGUUUUUUUUAGUUUUUUUAGUUUUUUAGUUUUUUCUAUAUAUUUAGGGUGUUUUUUCUGAAAUACUUUUCCUUCUGUUUUUUUUAUUUUUUUUAUACUAUCCUUUCUCUUUCUUUAAUUUUCUUUAGUUUUUUGUCUGCCUGUUUUAAGUGUUUUUUUUUAUUUUUUAAAGUUUUUUUUUAGAAAUACUAUUCUUUUUCUUCUUUUUUUAGUUUUCUUUAGUUUUAUUCUGCCUGUUUUUAAGGGUUUUUUUAGGUUUUUUUCAGUUUUUUGUUAUUUAUAUAUAUAAACAACCUGUUUUAAGGUUGUUUUUUAGUUUUUUUCUUGUUGUUAUUUAUAUAUAUUAAGGGUGUUCUUUUCUGAAAUACUUUUCCUUCUUUUUUUUCAUUUUGUUUAUAAUAUCCUUUCUCUUUUUUAGUUUUCUUUAGUUUUUUUCUGCCUGUUUUAAGUUUUUUUUUUUUUUUUUUUUCUAUAUAUUUAGGGUGUUUUUUUUCUCAAAUACUAUUCUUUUUCUCCUUUUUUUAGUUUUCUUUAGUUUUAUUCUGCCUGUUUUUAAGGUUUUUUUUUAGUUUUUUUUCAGUUUUUUGUUAUUUAUAUACACUCACUGGCCACUUUAUUAGGUACACCUGUCCAACUGCUCGUUAACACUUAAUUUCUAAUCAGCCAAUCACAUGGCGGCAACUUAGUGCAUUUAGGCAUGUAGACAUGGUCAAGACAAUCUCCUGCAGUUCAAACCGAGCAUCAGUAUGGGGAAGAAAGGUGAUUUGAGUGACUUUGAACGUGGCAUGGUUGUUAGUGCCAGAAGGGCUGGUCUGAGUAUUUCAGAAACUGCUGAUCUACUGGGAUUUUCACGCACAACCAUCUCUAGGGUUUACAGAGAAUGGUCCGAAAAAGAAAAAAUAUCCAGUGAGCGGCAGUUCUGUGGGCGGAAAUGCCUUGUUGAUGCCAGAGGUCAGAGGAGAAUGGCCAGACUGGUUUGAGCUGAUAGAAAGGCAACAGUGACUCAAAUAACCACCCGUUACAACCAAGGUAGGCAGAAGAGCAUCUCUGAACGCACAGUACAUCGAACUUUGAGGCAGAUGGGCUACAGCAGCAGAAGACCACGCCAGGUGCCACUCCUUUCAGCUAAGAACAGGAAACUGAGGCUACAAUUUGCACAAGCUCAUCGAAAUUGGACAAUGAAGAUUGGAAAAACGUUGCCUGGUCUGAUGAGUCUCGAUUUCUGCUGCGACAUUCGGAUGGUAGGGUCAGAAUUUGGCGUCAACAACAUGAAAGCAUGGAUCCAUCCUGCCUUGUAUCAACAGUUCUGGCUGGUGGUGGUGGUGUCAUGGUGUGGGGAAUAUUUUCUUGGCACUCUUUGGGCCCCUUGGUACCAAUUGAGCAUCGUUGCAACGCCACAGCCUACCUGAGUAUUGUUGCUGACCAUGUCCAUCCCUUUAUGACCACAAUGUACCCAACUUCUGAUGGCUACUUUCAGCAGGAUAAUGCGCCAUGUCAUAAAGCUGGAAUCAUCUCAGACUGGUUUCUUGAACAUGACAAUGAGUUCACUGUACUCAAAUGGCCUCCACAGUCACCAGAUCUCAAUCCAAUAGAGCAUCUUUGGGAUGUGGUGGAGCGGGAGAUUCGCAUCAUGGAUGUGCAGCCGACAAAUCUGCGGCAACUGUGUGAUGCCAUCAUGUCAAUAUGGACCAAGCUCUCUGAGGAAUGCUUCCAGCACCUUGUUGAAUCUAUGCCACGAAGAAUUGAGGCAGUUCUGAAGGCAAAAGGGGGUCCAACCCGUUACUAGCAUGGUGUACCUAAUAAAGUGGCCGGUGAGUGUAUAUAUAUAGGUUGUUCUUUUCUGAAAUACUUUUCCUUGUGUUUUUUUAUUUUGUUUAUACUAUCCUUUCUAUCCUUCUAUCCUUUAUCCUAUCCUUUCUUAUAGUUUUUUUAGUUCUUUUUGUUAUAUAUAUUUAGGGUGUUUUUUUUCAGAAAUACUUUUCCUUCUGUUUUUUUAUUUUGUUUACACUAUCCUUUCUCUUCUUUUUAGUUUACUUUAGUUUUUUUCUGCCUGUUUUAAGUUUUUUUUUUAGUUUUUUAAAGUUUUUUUUAGAAAUACUAUUCUUUUUCUUCUUUUUUUAGUUUUCUUUAGUUUUAUUCUGCCUGUUUUUAAGGGGUUUUUUCAGGUUUUUUUCAGUUUUUUUGAAGUUUUUUUAGAAAUACUAAUCUUCUUGUUUUUAUUAGUUUUCUUUAGUUUUAUUCUGCCUGUUUUAAGUUUUUUUUUUUUUCUAUAUAUUUGGGGUGUUUUUUCUGAUAUACCUUUCUUUCUGUUUUUUUAAUUUUGUUUAUACUAUCCUUUCUCUUUUUUUAAUUUUCUUUAGUUUUUUGUCUGCCUGUUUUAAGUUUUUUGUAUUAGUUUUUUGAGUUCUUUUUGUUUUUUAUAAUUAGGGUGUUUUUUUCAGAAAUACUUUUCCUUCUGUUUUUUUUUAUUUUGUUUACACUAUCCUUUCUCCUCUUUUUAGUUUACUUUAGUUUUUUUCUGCCUGUUUUAAGUUUUUUUUUUAGUUUUUUAAAGUUUUUUUAGAAAUACUAUUCUUUUUCUUCUUUUUUUAGUUUUCUUUAGUUUUAUUCUGCCUGUUUUUAAGGGUUUUUUUCAGGUUUUUUUCAGUUUUUUUGUUAUUUAUAUAUAUAUAGGUUGUUCUUUUCUGAAAUACUUUUCCUUCUGUUUUUUUAUUUUGUUUAUACUAUCCUUUCUAUCCUUCUAUCCUUUAUCCUAUCCUUUCUUUUGUUUUUUUUAAUUCUAUUUGUUAUAUAUAUUUAGGGUGUUUUUUUUCAGAAAUACUUUUCCUUCUGUUUUUUAAAUUUUGUAUACACUAUCCUUUCUCCUUUUUUUAGUUUACUUUAGUUUUUUUCUGCCUGUUUUAAGUUUUUUUUAGUUUUUUUAGUUUUUUAAAGUUUUUUUAGAAAAUACUAUUCUUUUUCUUCUUUUUUAGUUUUCUUUAGUUUUAUCCUGCCUGUUUUUAAGUUUUUUUUUUAGUUUUUUUUUUCUUUUUUUAUUAUUUAUAUAUAUAUAGGUUGUUCUUUUCUGAAAUACUUUUCCUUCUGUUUUUUUAUUUUGUUUAUACUAUCCUUUCUCUUUUUUAGUUUUCUUCAGUUUUUUUCUGCCUGUUUUAAUUUUUUUUUGUUUUUUCUAUAUAUUUAGGGUGUUUUUUCUGAUAUACUUUUCUUUCUGUUUUUUUAAUUUUGUUUAUACUAUCCUUUCUCUUUUUUUAGUUUUCUUUAGUUUUUUGUCUGCCUGUUUUAAGUUUUUUUUAUUAGUUUUUUUAGUUCUUUUUGUUAUAUAUAUUUAGGGUGUUUUUUUUUCGGAAAUAGUUUUCCUUCUGUUUUUUUAUUUUGUUUACACUAUCCUUUCUCCUCUUUUUAGUUCACUUUAGUUUUUUUCUGCCUGUUUUAAGUUUUUUUUUUAGUUUUUUUUAGUUUUUUAAAGUUUUUUUUAGAAAUACUAUUCUUUUUUUUCUUUUUUUAGUUUUCUUUAGUUUUAUUCUGCCUGUUUUUAAGGUUUUUUUUAAGGUUUUUUUCAGUUUUUUGUUAUUUAUAUAUAUAUAUAGGUUGUUUUUUUCUGAAAUACUUUUCCUUCUUUUUUUUAUUUUGUUUAUACUAUCCUUUCUCCUUUUUAGUUUUCUUUAGUUUUUGUCUGCCUGUUAUAAGUUUUUUUUUAGUUUUUUGAAGUUUUUUUUAGAAAUACUAAUCUUCUUUUUAUUAGUUUUCUUUAGUUUUUUUCUGCCUGUUUUAAUUGUUUUGUUUUUUGUUUCCUUUAGUUUUUUUUUCUUCAGUUUUUUUUCCUAUUUUUUUGCCUGGCACCUCUUUCUUGAUGAGCUACUCUUAGUCUGGUCCCUCCCCCAGGACCUGCUGCCUUGGGUAACCUUUCAGAGGCAUAAAGCCCUGACAACAUAGCUCCUGGGAUCAUUGGGACACACAAACCCCUCCACCACGGUAAGGUGGUAGCUCAAGGAGGGGAAAAAACCCUCACAUGGGAGGGAAAAACCGCAAGGGUUUUUUUUUCUGUGCAAAACACCCGGUUUAGGGUGGGUUUUUGUUCUUUUUUUUCGGAAAUACUUUUCAUUUCUUUAGUUUCCUAUAGUUCUUUUUUAUUUUUCUGCCUGUUUUAAGUUUUUUUUCAGAAAUACUGUGAUGUUUCUUUUUUUUUUUUAGUUUUUUUUUUUACGAAUACUAUUCUUUUUCUCAGUUUUCUUUAGUUUUUUUUGUCAUUUAUAAAUAUUAAGGGUUUUCCUUUCUGAAAUACUUUUCCUUCUGUUUUUUUAUUUUGUUUAUACUAUCCUUUCUCUUUUUUAGUUUUCUUUAGUAUUUUCUACCUGUUUUAAGUUUUUUUUUUUUUUUUUUUUUUUUCUAUAUAUUUAGGGUGUUUUUUUCUGAAAUACUUUUCCUUCUGUUUUGUUUUAUUUUGUUUAUACAAUCCUUUCUCUUUUUUAGUUUUCUUUAGUUUUUUUCUGCCUGUUUUAAGUUUUUUUUUUAGUUUUUUUUUGUUUUUUUUCUAUAUAUUUAGGGUGUUUUUUCUGAUAUACUUUUCUUUCUGUUUUUUUUAAUAUUGUUUAUACUAUCAUUUCUCUUUAUUUAGUUUUCUUUAGUUUUUUGUCUGCCUGUUUUAAGAUGUUUUUAUUAGUUUUUUUAGUUCUUUUUGUUAUAUAUAUUUAGGGUGUUUUUUUUCAGAAAUAGUUUUCCUUCUGUUUUUUUUUAUUUUGUUUACACUGUCCUUUCUCUUUUUUUUUAAUUUUCUUUAGUUUUUUGUCUGCCUGUUUUUAGUUUUUUUUUUUAGUUUUUUUUUUAGUUCUUUUUGUAAUAUAUUUAGGGUGUUUUAUCAGAAAUACUUUUCCUUCUGUUUUUUUAUUUUGUUUAUAAUAUCCUUUCUCCUUUUUUAGUUUACUUUAGUUUUUUCUGCCUGUUUUAAGUUUUUUUUUUAGAUUUUUUUUAGUUUUUUAAAGUUUGUUUUAGAAAUACUAUUCUUUUUCUUCUUUUUUUAGGUUUCUUUAGUUUUUUUCUGCCUGUUUUAAGGUUGUUUUUUAGUUUUUUUUUCUUGUUGUUAUUUAUAUAUAUAUAGGUUGUUCUUUUCUGAAAUACUUUUCCUUCUGUUUUUUUUAUUUUGUUUAUACUAUCCUUUCUCUUUUUUAGUUUUCUUUAGUUUUUUUCUGCCUGUUUUAAGUUUUUUUUGUUUUUUCUAUAUAUUUAGGGUGUUUUUUUUCUCAAAUACUUUUCCUUCUGUUUUUUUUAUUUUGUUUACACUAUCCUUUCUCUUUUUUUAAUUUUCUUUAGUUUUUUGUCUGCCUGUUUUUAGUUUUUUUUUUUUUAGUUUUUUUUAGUUCUUUUUGUAAUAUAUUUAGGGUGUUUUAUCAGAAAUACUUUUCCUUCUGUUUUUUUUAUUUUGUUUAUACUAUCCUUUCUCUUUUUUAGUUUUCUUUAGUUUUUUUCUGCCUGUUUUAAGUUUUUUUUAGUUUUUUUAGUUUUUUAGUUUUUUCUAUAUAUUUAGGGUGUUUUUUUCUGAAAUACUUUUCCUUCUGUUUUUUUUAUUUUGUUUAUACUAUCCUUUCUCUUUCUUUAAUUUUCUUUAGUUUUUUGUCUGCCUGUUUUAAGUGUUUUUUUUUAGUUUUUUAAAGUUUUUUUUUAGAAAUACUAUUCUUUUUCUUCUUUUUUUAGUUUUCUUUAGUUUUAUUCUGCCUGUUUUUAAGGGUUUUUUUAGGUUUUUUUCAGUUUUUUGUUAUUUAUAUAUAUAAACAACCUGUUUUAAGGUUGUUUUUUAGUUUUUUUCUUGUUGUUAUUUAUAUAUAUUAAGGGUGUUCUUUUCUGAAAUACUUUUCCUUCUUUUUUUUCAUUUUGUUUAUAAUAUCCUUUCUCUUUUUUAGUUUUCUUUAGUUUUUUUCUCCCUGUUUUAAGUUUUUUUUUUUUUUUUUUUUUUUCUAUAUAUUUAGGGUGUUUUUUUUCUCAAAUACUAUUCUUUUUCUCCUUUUUUUUAGUUUUCUUUAGUUUUAUUCUGCCUGUUUUUAAGGUUUUUUUUUAGUUUUUUUUCAGUUUUUUGUUAUUUAUAUACACUCACUGGCCACUUUAUUAGGUACACCUGUCCAACUGCUCGUUAACACUUAAUUUCUAAUCAGCCAAUCACAUGGCGGCAACUUAGUGCAUUUAGGCAUGUAGACAUGGUCAAGACAAUCUCCUGCAGUUCAAACCGAGCAUCAGUAUGGGGAAGAAAGGUGAUUUGAGUGACUUUGAACGUGGCAUGGUUGUUAGUGCCAGAAGGGCUGGUCUGAGUAUUUCAGAAACUGCUGAUCUACUGGGAUUUUCACGCACAACCAUCUCUAGGGUUUACAGAGAAUGGUCCGAAAAAGAAAAAAUAUCCAGUGAGCGGCAGUUCUGUGGGCGGAAAUGCCUUGUUGAUGCCAGAGGUCAGAGGAGAAUGGCCAGACUGGUUUGAGCUGAUAGAAAGGCAACAGUGACUCAAAUAACCACCCGUUACAACCAAGGUAGGCAGAAGAGCAUCUCUGAACGCACAGUACAUCGAACUUUGAGGCAGAUGGGCUACAGCAGCAGAAGACCACGCCAGGUGCCACUCCUUUCAGCUAAGAACAGGAAACUGAGGCUACAAUUUGCACAAGCUCAUCGAAAUUGGACAAUGAAGAUUGGAAAAACGUUGCCUGGUCUGAUGAGUCUCGAUUUCUGCUACGACAUUCGGAUGGUAGGGUCAGAAUUUGGCGUCAACAACAUGAAAGCAUGGAUCCAUCCUGCCUUGUAUCAACAGUUCUGGCUGGUGGUGGUGGUGUCAUGGUGUGGGGAAUAUUUUCUUGGCACUCUUUGGGCCCCUUGGUACCAAUUGAGCAUCGUUGCAACGCCACAGCCUACCUGAGUAUUGUUGCUGACCAUGUCCAUCCCUUUAUGACCACAAUGUACCCAACUUCUGAUGGCUACUUUCAGCAGGAUAAUGCGCCAUGUCAUAAAGCUGGAAUCAUCUCAGACUGGUUUCUUGAACAUGACAAUGAGUUCACUGUACUCAAAUGGCCUCCACAGUCACCAGAUCUCAAUCCAAUAGAGCAUCUUUGGGAUGUGGUGGAGCGGGAGAUUCGCAUCAUGGAUGUGCAGCCGACAAAUCUGCGGCAACUGUGUGAUGCCAUCAUGUCAAUAUGGACCAAGCUCUCUGAGGAAUGCUUCCAGCACCUUGUUGAAUCUAUGCCACGAAGAAUUGAGGCAGUUCUGAAGGCAAAAGGGGGUCCAACCCGUUACUAGCAUGGUGUACCUAAUAAAGUGGCCGGUGAGUGUAUAUAUAUAGGUUGUUCUUUUCUGAAAUACUUUUCCUUGUGUUUUUUUAUUUUGUUUAUACUAUCCUUUCUAUCCUUCUAUCCUUUAUCCUAUCCUUUCUUUUAGUUUUUUUAGUUCUUUUUGUUAUAUAUAUUUAGGGUGUUUUUUUUCAGAAAUACUUUUCCUUCUGUUUUUUUAAUUUUGUUUACACUAUCCUUUCUCCUUUUUUUGGUUAACUUUAGUUUUUUUCUGCCUGUUUUAAGGUUGUUUUUUAGUUUUUUUUAGUUUUUUAAAGUUUUUUUUUUAGAAAUACUAUCCUUUUCUUCUUUUUUAAUUUUCUUUAGUUUUAUUCUUCCUGUUUUUAAGUUUUUUUUAGUUUUUUUUUAGUUUUUUGUUAUUUAUAUAUAUAGGUUGUUCUUUUCUGAAAUACUUUUCCUUCUGUUUUUUUUAUUUUGUUUAUACUAUCCUUUCUCUUUUUUUUAGUUUUCUUUAGUUUUUUUUCUGCCUGUUUUAAUUUUUUAUUAGAAAAACUAUUCUUUUUCUUCUUUUUUAGUUUUCUUUAGUUUUUUUCUGCAUGUUUAAAGUUGUUUUUUAGUUUUUUUUUGUUAUUUAUAAAUAUUAAGGGUUUUCCUUUCUAAAAUACUUUUCCUUCUGUUUUUUUAUUUUGUUUAUACCAUCCUUUCUCUUUUUUAGUUUUCUUUAGUUUUUUUCUGCCUGUUUUAAGUUUUUUUUUAGUUUUUUUAGUUUUUUAGUUUUUUCUAUAUAUUUAGGGUGUUUUUUCUGAAAUACUUUUCCUUCUGUUUUUUUUAUUUUGUUUAUACUAUCCUUUCUCUUUCUUUAAUUUUCUUUAGUUUUUUGUCUGCCUGUUUUAAGUGGUUUUUUUUAGGUUUUUUUAGUUACUUUUGUAAUAUAUUUAGGGUGUUUUAUCAGAAAUACUUCUGUUUUUUUUAUUUUGUUUAUAAUAUCCUUUCUCCUUUUUUAGUUUACUUUAGUUUUUUCUGCCUGUUUUAAUUUUAUUUUUUAGUUUUUUUUUGUUCUUUUUGUAAUAUAUUUAGGGUGUUUUUUCAGAAAUACUGUUCCUUCUGUUUUUUUUAGUUUUUGUCUGCCUGUUCUAAGUUUUUUUUUAGUUUUUUUUAGUUUUUUUUAGAAAUAAUAAUCUUCUUUUUAUUAGUUUUCUUUAGUUUUUUUCUGCCUGUUUUAAUUUUUCUGUUUUUUGUUUUCUUUAGUUUUUUUUCUUCAGUUUUUUUUUCCUAUUUUUUUGCCUGGCACCUCUGUCUGGAUGAGCUACUCUUAGUCUGGUCCCUCCCCCAGGACCUGUUUGCCUUGGGUAACCUUUCAGAGGCAUAAAGCCCUGACAACAUAGCUCCUGGGAUCAUUGGGACACACAAACCCCUCCACCACGGUAAGGUGG
This 12774-nucleotide long non-coding RNA is filed under the name Xyrichtys novacula (pearly razorfish). Lineage: Eukaryota; Metazoa; Chordata; Actinopteri; Labriformes; Labridae. The record is from RNAcentral.